RNAcentral lists this transfer RNA (73 nucleotides) under Thermoplasmata archaeon. Its description in RNAcentral is "tRNA-Pro". Lineage: Archaea; Methanobacteriati; Thermoplasmatota; Thermoplasmata. The record is from RNAcentral. RNAcentral also lists the same sequence under 1 other name.
GGGCCCGUGGGGUAGCUUGGUAUCCUUCCACCUUGGGGUGGUGGUAACUCCAGUUCAAAUCUGGACGGGCUCA